AAUCUUGCCGUUGUCAUAAUAUGUAAAGUCUUGCUUGAGAAUGCUCUGAGUACAUGACUGUGGAAGGUAGAAUAGAAAUUGCAACAACAAAAUCCUAACUCUAAUAGAAUACUAACUAAAUUCUAAUUAAACCAUAAUAAUACUAAGCAAGCUUUAAUCAAAUUCAAAGAAACCUCAAAGGAAUUACAAAGAAAGAAUAAAAAAUCUUAAAGAAAUAUUAAAAUGAUCACAAAUAUAUCUCAAUUCAAUCUUAAUUUAAUCCUACUUAAAAUCCUAUUGGACUUCAUUCAAACUUUAGGCCAAAAACUAACUAAAUCUAAAACCCUAAACAAAUUCAAAUAAAAUCCUAUAUCCUAAAUCAAACCCUAAUCAAAUCCUAAAUCCUAAAUCAAAUCCUUACCAAUUCUAAAUCAAAUCCUAACCAAAUCCUUAUCUUAGAUCAAAUCCUAACUAAACCCUAAAUCCUAAACCAAACCCUAAUCCUAAAUCAAAUCCUAACCAAAUCCUAAUCUUAAAUCAAAUCCUAAUCAAAUCUUAAUCCUAAAUCAAAUCUUAACCAAUUCUAAAUCAAAUCCUAGAUCUUAAAUCAAAUCCUAAUCAAAUCCUAACUCUAAAUCAAAUUCUAAUCAAAUCCUAGAUCCUAAAUCAAAUCCUAACCUUAAAGCAAACCCUAAACAAAUCCUAAAUCCUAAAUCAAAUCCUAAUCAAAUCCUAAUCCUAAAUCAAAUCUUAACCAAAUUCUAAAUCA
Molecule: long non-coding RNA, 748 nt
Filed under: Physcomitrium patens
Lineage: Eukaryota; Viridiplantae; Streptophyta; Bryopsida; Funariales; Funariaceae
Description: long non-coding RNA (PPAT_LNC005701)
Source: RNAcentral